Molecule: small nucleolar RNA, 122 nt
Organism: Phoenix dactylifera (date palm)
Lineage: Eukaryota; Viridiplantae; Streptophyta; Magnoliopsida; Arecales; Arecaceae
Product: small nucleolar RNA SNORD14
Source: RefSeq, a predicted model, not a curated record
AAUUGAGGAUGACAAACCCAAGGGCUUGUUUCUCAAAAUAUUCGCAGUGGCCGGCUGAGGGCUUUCGCCUCGCCGGGCUUGAGAGCCUUUGCUGCUCGAUCCUUCCUUGGAUGUCUGAGAUC